This 229-nucleotide non-coding RNA is filed under the name Tepidibacillus sp. Its description in RNAcentral is "T-box sequence". It matches the Rfam family "T-box leader". Rfam says of the family: Uncharged tRNA acts as the effector for transcription antitermination of genes in the T-box leader family. The record is from RNAcentral. Lineage: Bacteria; Bacillati; Bacillota; Bacilli; Caryophanales; Bacillaceae.
UUGAAUGCGAGGAAAGAGAAGAGUAGAUAAAUUCCCAUCUUUUAGGGAGGAGAUGUCAUAGACUGGAAGCAUCUCUAAGAUGGUUUUAUUGAAGUUCGCUCUGGAGCAGAUCUCUGAAAAGGAUCAGUAGGAGAAUCCGUUUUGUCUACGUUAAGACACUAAAGUUGAACAAUCAAUCUUGUUUAAUUGUUCAUAAAUUAGGGUGGUACCACGGUCUUUCGUCCCUUGC